AUGGAAUCUUACCGGAUGGAAAAACGCCCACAAGCAAAACAUGCACGAUUUCAUCAUGAAGGAAUUAAAUCUAGCUUGCUUCGUCGUCUUGCUGGUAGUACUACAUAUGCUUGUGGGCCGGUGCCAAAAGAGGUUGCAGGUUCGCGCUUAUCCGCGGGUCAGGUUGACAUUCUAGGGUACAAAAUAAAGGCCAUAGAGCACACUCACUUGAUCAGUGUAUUCAGCAAGAUACUCCUAGAGUCCCAAUACGCUGGACUACAGGAGAAGUGCCAACCAUUGGUACCACAAGACAAUGGGUACGAUAACAAGCAAGAAUCGGCUGUGAAGCAAGCAACAACAUGGUGGAGAAACGAGCUCCUGGAUUUUCUGGCCAAGCACAUCAACUAA
This 387-nucleotide ribosomal RNA is filed under the name Triticum aestivum (bread wheat). Its description in RNAcentral is "partial small subunit ribosomal RNA". The record is from RNAcentral. Lineage: Eukaryota; Viridiplantae; Streptophyta; Magnoliopsida; Poales; Poaceae.